AACGAACGCUGGCGGCAGGCCUAACACAUGCAAGUCGAGCGCGCAGCAAUGCGAGCGGCAGACGGGUGAGUAACGCGUGGGAACCUUCCCAAUGGUACGGAAUAGCUCAGGGAAACUUGAGGUAAUACCGUAUACGCCCGAGAGGGGAAAGAUUUAUCGCCAUUGGAUGGGCCCGCGUAGGAUUAGCUAGUUGGUGAGGUAACGGCUCACCAAGGCGACGAUCCUUAGCUGGUCUGAGAGGAUGAUCAGCCACACUGGGACUGAGACACGGCCCAGACUCCUACGGGAGGCAGCAGUGGGGAAUAUUGGACAAUGGGCGCAAGCCUGAUCCAGCCAUGCCGCGUGAGUGACGAAGGUCUUCGGAUUGUAAACCCCUUUCGGGAGGGAAGAUGGAACGAGCAAUCGUUCGGACGGUACCUCCAGAAGCAGCCACGGCCAACUUCGUG
This 446-nucleotide ribosomal RNA is filed under the name uncultured bacterium. RNAcentral's name for it is "bacterial SSU rRNA". It matches the Rfam family "Bacterial small subunit ribosomal RNA", at positions 29 to 507 of the family's 1533-position model. The record is from RNAcentral.